GACGAACGCUGGCGGCGUGCCUAAUACAUGCAAGUAGAACGCUGAAGAGAGGAGCUUGCUCUUCUUGGAUGAGUUGCGAACGGGUGAGUAACGCGUAGGUAACCUGCCUUGUAGCGGGGGAUAACUAUUGGAAACGAUAGCUAAUACCGCAUAACAAUGGAUGACCCAUGUCAUUUAUUUGAAAGGGGCAAAUGCUCCACUACAAGAUGGACCUGCGUUGUAUUAGCUAGUAGGUGAGGUAACGGCUCACCUAGGCGACGAUACAUAGCCGACCUGAGAGGGUGAUCGGCCACACUGGGACUGAGACACGGCCCAGACUCCUACGGGAGGCAGCAGUAGGGAAUCUUCGGCAAUGGGGGCAACCCUGACCGAGCAACGCCGCGUGAGUGAAGAAGGUUUUCGGAUCGUAAAGCUCUGUUGUAAGUCAAGAACGAGUGUGAGAGUGGAAAGUUCACACUGUGACGGUAGCUUACCAGAAAGGGACGGCUAACUACGUGCCAGCAGCCGCGGUAAUACGUAGGUCCCGAGCGUUGUCCGGAUUUAUUGGGCGUAAAGCGAGCGCAGGCGGUUUGAUAAGUCUGAAGUUAAAGGCUGUGGCUCAACCAUAGUUCGCUUUGGAAACUGUCAAACUUGAGUGCAGAAGGGGAGAGUGGAAUUCCAUGUGUAGCGGUGAAAUGCGUAGAUAUAUGGAGGAACACCGGUGGCGAAAGCGGCUCUCUGGUCUGUAACUGACGCUGAGGCUCGAAAGCGUGGGGAGCGAACAGGAUUAGAUACCCUGGUAGUCCACGCCGUAAACGAUGAGUGCUAGGUGUUGGAUCCUUUCCGGGAUUCAGUGCCGCAGCUAACGCAUUAAGCACUCCGCCUGGGGAGUACGACCGCAAGGUUGAAACUCAAAGGAAUUGACGGGGGCCCGCACAAGCGGUGGAGCAUGUGGUUUAAUUCGAAGCAACGCGAAGGACCUUACCAGGUCUUGACAUCCCGAUGCUAUUUCUAAAGAUAGAAAGUUACUUCGGUACAUCGGUGACAGGUGGUGCAUGGUUGUCGUCAGCUCGUGUCGUGAGAUGUUGGGUUAAGUCCCGCAACGAGCGCAACCCCUAUUGUUAGUUGCCAUCAUUCAGUUGGGCACUCUAGCGAGACUGCCGGUAAUAAACCGGAGGAAGGUGGGGAUGACGUCAAAUCAUCAUGCCCCUUAUGACCUGGGCUACACACGUGCUACAAUGGUUGGUACAACGAGUUGCGAGUCGGUGACGGCAAGCUAAUCUCUUAAAGCCAAUCUCAGUUCGGAUUGUAGGCUGCAACUCGCCUACAUGAAGUCGGAAUCGCUAGUAAUCGCGGAUCAGCACGCCGCGGUGAAUAAGGGCCCGGGCCU
Molecule: ribosomal RNA, 1369 nt
Filed under: uncultured bacterium
Lineage: Bacteria
Description: bacterial SSU rRNA
Rfam family: Bacterial small subunit ribosomal RNA
Source: RNAcentral